Molecule: long non-coding RNA, 4766 nt
Filed under: Papio anubis (olive baboon)
Lineage: Eukaryota; Metazoa; Chordata; Mammalia; Primates; Cercopithecidae
Description: lncRNA (ENSPANG00000037146.1)
Source: RNAcentral
AUGUCUGUGCAGGGGGAGUGGUCCCUGGGCUCCGCGCCUGCGUCCCAAUUCAUCACCGCCCGGUGCUGGGGAGUCAUAUGCUGCUUUAUACCCAGUGUCUGCACAAUGAGACCUUUGUGGGGCUCUGAACAACGCCCUUUAGAAUUCAGAUCAAACGCCCUGACUUCCGCCCACCCUACACACAGAGCACUUGUGUCCCAGCGCCGGACACCCAGCCUGCACCCACCUGUUCUGUGCCCGCCCGGUCCAUCGCCGCACCCGCCCCAUAGCCCCACCAGAAGAAUGGCCACGCGGGGGAGGGAGAUAAAACUCAGGCAGGUGGAUGUGAAGAGGGGACCUCAGGGGACCCGGAGGCUCUGGGCUGAGGCCCUUCCCCAUGGCCCCAUCAGAAGUUUAAGGAAGCCUGUUAUCCCAUUUUCCAGAUGAAGAAGCUGAAGCUCAGGUAAGUAACUCCUCAAGGUCACACUGUUACAAAGCGGUAGUAUAAGUAGGAUGAAACAAUGUAUCUGAGACAGAAGUCUUUCUACAGCAGGCUCCUUGUGCUUCUGCAGACAGUGUCCGUAGAAAGCAAAGGCUAACCAUUAAAAACAACAACAACAACAACAAAAAAGGCCCGGCGCAGUGGCUCACGCCUGUAAUCCCAGCACUUUGGGAGGCCGAGGCGGACGGAUCACAAGAUCAGGAAAUCAAGACCAUCCUGGCUAACAAGGUGAAACCCUGUCUCUACUGAAAAUACAAAAAAUUAGCCGGACGUGAUGGGACGAGCCUGUAGUCCCAGCUACUCGGGAGGCUGAGGCAGGAGAAUCACUUGAACCCAGGAGGCCGAGGUUGCAGUGAGCCAAGAUUGCACCACUGAACUCCAGCCUGGGCGACAGAGUGAGUGAGACUCUAUCACAAAAACAAACAAACAAAAAAGCAAAGGCGAAUGUUAACCAUAAAGGCACAAGAAGUAUGGAAGCUGUCAAUCCGUGAGCACAUUCCAACUCCAGUGUCAUGGAGCAAACCCUGGCCGUCUCUCUUUGAGUUUCAGGAAAGGGAACUCAUGCAGGGGGUGGUCAAGUGGGCACACGGUGAGCAUAAGCCAGAAGGAGAAAGCAAAAGGUCACUGAGCAGGCCGGGUGCCGUGGCACACGCCUGUAAUCCCAGCACUUUGGGAGUCUGUGGCGGGUGGAUCAUUUGAGGUCAGGAGUUCGAGACCAGCCUGGCCAACAUGGUGAAACCCCGUCUCUACUAAAAAUACAAAAAUUAGCCGGGCGUGGUGGUAUACACCUGUAAUCCCAGCUACUCAGGAGGCUGAGGCAGGAGAAUUGCUUGAACCUGGGCGGCGGAGGUUGCAGUGAGCCAAGAUCAUGCCAUUGUACUCCAGCUUGGGUGACAGAGCAUGAUUCCAUCUCAAAAAAAAAAAAAAAAAAAAGUCACUGAGCAAACAGAGGGUCAGGAGAUAGGCUGUGACUCUUACCUAUAGUCACAUAGCUUUAGGUUUGGAUUCUGGUUCUUCACUUGAUGUGACCUUGGGCUAGCUACUAAACUUCUCCGAGCCUGCUUGUUCAUCUAUAAAUGAGGUUAAUACCCAGGGUUAUUGUGAGAUUCAACGAGACAAUCUGCAAAAGUUCUUAGCCCGGCUCCAGGAUCAUAGUUGGUGACCAAAGGGGUUAAGAAUCUUCUCAGGGGCCGGGCACAGAGGCUCACAUCUGUAAUCCCAGCACUUUGGGAGGUUGAAGUGGGCAGGUCACUUGAGGUCCGGAGUUUGAGACCACCCUGGCCAACAUAGUGAAACUCCAUCUCUACUGAAAAUACAAAAAUUUAGCUGCGUGUGGUGGUGCAUGCCUGUAAUCCCAGCUGCUAGGUGGGAGAAUCACUGGAACCCCGGAGACGGAGGUUGCCGUGAGCCAAGAUUGCACCACUGCACUCCAGUCUGGGCGACAGAGCAAGACUCCAUCUCAAAAAAAAAAAAAAAAUUCUUCUCGGGAAGAGAAAACAAAGUUGCCUUGGGGGAGUAAAUGGUCUGCCAAACCCAAGAUCUCUCCUUUUUCUCCCUAAUGCUGUGGGGUUUUUUUUUUUUGUUUUUUUUUUUUAAGAGGAUGGGAACAAGGUCUGGCUAUAUCACCCAGGCUAGAGUGCAGUGGCACAAUCACUGCUCACUGCAGCCUUGACCUCCUGGGCUCCAGCGAUCCUCCCACCUCAGCCUCUCAAUUAGCUGGGACCACAGGUAUGUGUCACCAUGCCCAGCGAAUUUUUCUUUUUUUUUUUUGUAGAGGUCGGGGGCUCGCUAUGUUGCCCAGGCUGGUCUUGAACUCCUGGGCUCAAGCAAUCUUCCCACUUUUGCCUCCCAAAGUGUUGGGAUUACAGGCGUGAGCGACCUUGAGCAGCCCCCGAUGCUGUUGUUGACCUAUAGGGUCUGUCUGAGACCAGCCCCCAACCCCAAGUGCAUAUUGUAACCUCGUGGUUUCAGGAGCUUGCCAGUUGCUCUAGGGAGGAAAUUCUCCUCCAUCCCUUAGGCAGGCUAAGAAGGCUUCUCCCAUCUCUUGCCACUUCUGCCAUUAAGUUGCAAGGAGAUCAUACUAGCAGCAGGAAACUGAAUGUGAGGAGGACACGCAGGGCUGGACCAUAGGAGAUGCAGUGAUCCCUGGAGUAAUUUCCUGACCCCAAUGCAUGCUCCACAGCAGAGCAAGUGGUUGUGGAAGAAGCCUCAUAUUCAGCCCUGGAUGGUCCUCUAUGCUGUAGAGGAAAGGGGUGGGGUAACAGCAACUGCGAAAGUUGGGAAAUGGGAUGAAAGAAUCAGGGGAAAGAAGGACAGUCCACAGGACAUAGAUUACUUCUCAGAACAAGGUUUCUUCAUCUAACUAACUAAAUAAAUAGCCUUAGUGAGUUCAUGUCAUGUGCCAACCAGCAUGGGGAAGCAGGGAUAUGGGUGCCCUUUCUCCCAAGCCUAGGAAUCUACAUGCAAAGCUGUUGCACUAGGCAUCACAGCUAGCCAUAAAGAAAUGCUUCAGAGGCUGGGCACGGUGGCUCAUGCCUUUAAUCCCAAUGCUUUGGGAGGCCAAGGUGGGCAGAUCACGAGGUCAGCAGAUCGAGGCCAACAUGGUGAAACCCCGACUCUACUAAAAUUAGAAAAAUUAGCUGGGCAUGGUGGCACGCACCUGUAAUCCCAGCUACUCGGGAGGCUGAGGCAGGAGAAUCGCUUGAACCCAGGAGGCGAAGAUUGCAGUGAGCCGAGAUUGCACCACUGCACUCCAGCCUGCAGAGCCAGAGUGAGACUCCGUCAAAAAAAAAAAAAAAAAAAAAAAAAAAAAAAAGAAGAAAAGAAAAAGAAAUGCUUCCAGGCAGUGAGAUGCUACACCUAGAACAGGUAGCCAGAGAAUUAUUAAUAACUGGCUGGGUGCAGGGGCUCACGCCUGCAAUCCCAGCACUUUGGGAGGCUUAGGUGGGCAGAUCACUGAGGGAUUUGAGUCCAGCCUGACCAACAUGGUGAAACCCCAUCUCUACUAAAAAUUAGCUGAUGUGGUGCAUGGCACCUGUAAUCCUGCAGCUACCCAGGAGGCUGAGGCAGGAGAAUUGUUUAACCCAAGAGGCAGAGGUUGCAGGAGUGGAGAUCCUGCCACUGAACUCCAGCCUGGGGAAAAGAGUGAGACUCUGGUUCUGGGAAACAAAACAAAACAAAAACCCAGGCCAGGUGCAGUGGCUCACGCCUGGAAUCCCAGCACUUUGGGAGGCUGGAGGUGGGCAUCGUUUGAGCCCAGGAGCUUGAGACCAUCAUGGCAAUAUAGCAAGACCCCGCCUCUAUUGUAUUUAAAAAAGAAAAGCUCAAGGUGGCUCACUUCUGAAUCCCAAGUGGGAGGCUGAGGCGUGGUGGAAACGAGGUCAGAGAUAGAAACCAUCCUGGCUAACAUGGUGAAACCCCGCCUCUACUAAAAUACAAAAUUAGCCGGGCGUGGUGGCAGGUGCCUGUAGUCCCAGCUAUUUGGGAGGCUGAGGCAGGAGAAUGGCGUGAACCCAGGAGGCGGAGCCAUGAGCAGAUUGUGCCACUGCACUCCACCUCAGACAGAGCAUUCCACAAAAAAAAAAAAAAAAAUAGAAAAAGAAAACAAAAAAAAAAGGCCAGGCAUGCGGCUCACGCUUUGUAAUCCCAGCAUCUCUUUGGGAGGCAGAGAUCAGGAUUUCCUGAGGUCAGGAGUCUCGGGAGACUACCUGGACCAACAUGGUGAAACUGCCUCUACUAAAAAUACAAAAAUUAGCCGGGCAAGAUGCCUGUAGUUCCAGCUACCUACAGGAGGCUGAGUCAGGAGAAUCACUUGAACCCGAGGCAGAUGUUGUAGUGAGCCGAGAUCAUGCCACUGCACUCCAGCCUGGGUGACAGAACAGGACUCUGUCUCUAAAAAAAAAAAAAGAAUAAAAUAAAACAACAACAACAACAAUGAUGAUAAUAAUAAUAAUAAUAAAAAGAAUAACCUGGGCUGUCUUCUUUUUUUUUUUGAGAUGAGCCCACCUGUCACUCAGGCUGGAACAUGCGGCGUGAUCUCGGCUCACACUGCAAGCUCCACCUCCCGGUUCACCAUUCUUCUGCCUCACCCUGAGUAGCUGGGACUACAGCAUGCAGCCGUUCACUCUACCUCAGCUUUCUUUUUUUUUUUUUUUUUGUAUUUUAGUAGAGACAGGGUUUCACCAUGUUAGCCAGGAUGGUCUCGACACUCGACCUCGUGAUCCACCUGCCUCGAUCAAAGUGCUGGGAUUAGGCGUGAGUGCCACUGCACCUGGUCAUUCCCUGG